UUGGAGGGCAAGUCUGGUGCCAGCAGCCGCGGUAAUUCCAGCUCCAAUAGCGUAUAUUAAAGUUGUUGCAGUUAAAAAGCUCGUAGCUGAAUUUCGGGGUUAGUAGGUUGGUCAUGCCUCUGGUAUGUACUGGUCUCACUGAUUCCUCCUUCCUGAUGAACCGUAAUGCCAUUAAUUUGGUGUUGCGGGGAAUUUGGACUGUUACUUUGAAAAAAUUAGAGUGUUUAAAGCAAGCUAACGCUUGAAUACAUUAGCAUGGAAUAAUGAAAUAGGACGUUCGAUCCUAUUUUGUUGGUUUCUAGGAUCGACGUAAUGAUUAAUAGGGAUAGUUGGGGGCAUUAGUAUUCGAUUGUCAGAGGUGGAAUUCUUGGAUUUAUUGAAGACUAACUACUGCGAAAGCAUUUGCCAAGGAUGUUUUCAUUAAUCAAGAACGAAAGUUAGGGGAUCGAAGACGAUCAGAUACCGUCGUAGUCUUAACCAUAAACUAUGCCGACUAGGGAUCGGAUGAUGUUAAUUUUUUAAUGACUCAUUCGGCGCCUUACGGGAAAC
This 549-nucleotide ribosomal RNA is filed under the name uncultured Glomus. RNAcentral's name for it is "SSU rRNA". It matches the Rfam family "Eukaryotic small subunit ribosomal RNA", at positions 548 to 1098 of the family's 1831-position model. The record is from RNAcentral. Lineage: Eukaryota; Fungi; Glomeromycota; Glomeromycetes; Glomerales; Glomeraceae.